Elaeis guineensis (African oil palm) is the source of this 982-nucleotide non-coding RNA. The record is from RefSeq and is a predicted model, not a curated record. NCBI's taxonomy places the organism in Eukaryota, Viridiplantae, Streptophyta, Magnoliopsida, Arecales, Arecaceae.
GGUUCUCUGUCCGGUCUGUCUUGAAAACUUUUUUGAAAAGAAAAAAAAAAAAACCGAUGCGAUCCAUACCGACGUCCUCCUCCCCUGCCGCCUCCGGUCCGUCUCGAUUAGACGUCGUCGCGGAUGAAGAAGCUAGGUUUUUCAAUUUCCCCCGUUCGUCUUCGCAAAACCUAAACACCACCAUGGAUCUCCUUCAAAGCUACGCGGACAAGAUCGACGAAGAAGACGGAGAGCCAGAAGAAUCGCGAGGAGAAGAGAAGCGAGGAGGAGGAGAAGGGGAUGCUGCGGCGGCGGCCCCUGCCUCGCCAGAUUCGGACCCCUCCUCGGCUACUCCCGGCCAAGUCCGCCGCCCCGCGGGUGGACGACACCACCCUCGCCCUCGCCGCCGAGUUAAUUGUUGCAGUGUUUAGUUUCCAUGACUUGUGGUUGCACUCUGUGUCUUUGGCUCACUUAUAGAAAAUGACAUGUUAACCUUAUAAUAUCAUCGGUUGCACUACAUAAAUUUCCGGACGAGCUGCCAUAACGGUUUUCUUCAUUAAUGCUGGGAGUAUGGCCAUGGGAUUAGUUUUCCAGGCACUCUUCAACUUUGCUGAUGAGGUUCAUCUCAAUCGUUAGGUUGGAAGAUUGCACACUUAAAGAGUGCUUGCAGUUCUAUUCCAGUUGUUUAACGGAUACCAGCUGAGUUAAUUUGCUUCGGAUCAUGGCAGUGCCAUCAUCUAAGUUUUCAAGCUGUCUGCAUUAGCUAUGACGAACUUGACUGCUAAUUCUCUGAGGCUGUUCAUCAUUGUUGCAGGCAUGGUGCCGUUGAACAUGUAGUUCAUGUAGACUUUUAAGGUGUAUUUCUCCGGUGUAUGUCCCUGAAAGAAACAGUAUAUAUCCAGAAUUUGUUUUGUUUAUGCAAUAAUGACAGGAAUUUUUGCACCAACUGGUCCACUUAUUAUUUUUAUUUGUGGCCUCAUGGGCGUGAUGGGAUCAUUCUGUC